GACGAACGCUGGCGGCGUGCCUAAUACAUGCAAGUUGAGCGCUGAAGGUUGGUACUUGUACCAACUGGAUGAGCAGCGAACGGGUGAGUAACGCGUGGGGAAUCUGCCUUUGAGCGGGGGACAACAUUUGGAAACGAAUGCUAAUACCGCAUAAAAACUUUAAACACAAGUUUUAAGUUUGAAAGAUGCAAUUGCAUCACUCAAAGAUGAUCCCGCGUUGUAUUAGCUAGUUGGUGAGGUAAAGGCUCACCAAGGCGAUGAUACAUAGCCGACCUGAGAGGGUGAUAGGCCACAUUGGGACUGAGACACGGCCCAAACUCCUACGGGAGGCAGCAGUAGGGAAUCUUCGGCAAUGGACGAAAGUCUGACCGAGCAACGCCGCGUGAGUGAAGAAGGUUUUCGGAUCGUAAAACUCUGUUGGUAGAGAAGAACGUUGGUGAGAGUGGAAAGCUCAUCAAGUGACGGUAACUACCCAGAAGGGGACGGCUAACUACGUG
This 497-nucleotide ribosomal RNA is filed under the name uncultured bacterium. RNAcentral describes it as "partial 16S ribosomal RNA". It matches the Rfam family "Bacterial small subunit ribosomal RNA", at positions 28 to 507 of the family's 1533-position model. The record is from RNAcentral.